RNAcentral lists this ribosomal RNA (362 nucleotides) under uncultured bacterium. RNAcentral describes it as "partial 16S ribosomal RNA". It matches the Rfam family "Bacterial small subunit ribosomal RNA", at positions 338 to 697 of the family's 1533-position model. The record is from RNAcentral.
CCUACGGGUGGCAGCAGUGAGGAAUAUUGGUCAAUGGCCGGAAGGCUGAACCAGCCAUGCCGCGUGAAGGUCAGUGCCCUAUGGGCGGUAAACUUCUUUUGUGCGGGAGCAAUAAUGGUCACGGGUGGCCAGACGAGAGUACCGUACGAAUAAGCAUCGGCUAACUCCGUGCCAGCCGCCGCGGUAAUACCGGGGAUGGAAGCGUUAUCCGGAUUUAUUUGGUUUAGAGGGUGCGUAGGCUGGGAGGUAAGGUAGGUGUGGAAUGCCCCCGGUCAACGGGGUGAAGUGCCAUUGAUACUGGCUGGCUGGAAUGCAGAUGCGGUCGGAGGAACGUGAGGUGUAGCGGUGAAAUGCAUAGAUAU